AGGCUGCACUGGCGCUCGGGUCGCCGCACCGCCCCACAGCCUCACGCUCUCGCUCUCCGCAGUGACGGCAACCGCAACCGCAGCAGCACCCAGCUCCAUCUUUACCCGCCUGGCCCGAGCCGCAGCUGGCGGGAACCUAGCGAUUCGGGCUGAGGAGGACGAGCGGAAGACGCAGUGAAGGUGUCCCAGCCCCACCCCACCCCACGCCAUUGGCCGAAGCGCAAGAAGCAAAGAGUGGGCUAGACGCGCUGUUGCUGUUGCACCGAGGGAGCGAAGAAGGGAACAAGAGAGCGUGAUGGAGCGGUGCAGGCAGGUGUAGGAUUGAACCUCCCGAGUCCGCUCAGAGGACUUUGUCAGGGCCUGGGGCUGCUAGGGUGGCUUCAAGGGAUCGGAGGGCUCGGACCACUGCAGAUGCGGCGCAUGUGGGCGCGGCGAAAGCUCCCCCUUCUCCCAGGAUCUAAACGGAUAAACGGAAGCGCGUAUCUGCCUUUGCUUUGGACUGGCUGAAACACUGCGGACUGCAACCAAUGUCUUUUAAAGGAGAACAAAAAGAUGAGGCUCUUGUGCGGACUCGGGACAAAGCGUCUUGGGCUCGGUGACAAGGGACGCGCGGAACUCUGGCUCCCCGAUUGGAGAGAUCGACACAGCCCAAGGGCACCCCGCAGGGCUUGCGGACCUCUGAGGCGAGAGGACCACAGCAGGAGAGUUCCGGAAGGCUGAUUCCCAUAGAUUCUGGUAGCGGCUGCUGCAGCUCAACCCUGCGGCACGCCCGGCCAGGCUGCACCAGGACUCUACACUCGAGGAAAAAGCUUGGAAACGAAAGGAUGCGGGAGAACAAAGAGCCUUUGGAGGACGUGGCUGUUAUCUCAUUGUCUGUGACUGGGGGAGCUGCGGUAGGAAGGAUGCGGUGGUCCUUAGCUCAUCGCUUUCCCCCACCCCCCACCCUCCCCGCUGUCAGUGCGCACGCACACGCGCCGCCAGCUUUUUCUUUCUCAUUCCUCUUUUUCUCAUUCCACCUUCUUCCAUCCCCUCCCUU
Molecule: long non-coding RNA, 1036 nt
Organism: Microtus ochrogaster (prairie vole)
Lineage: Eukaryota; Metazoa; Chordata; Mammalia; Rodentia; Cricetidae
Source: RefSeq, a predicted model, not a curated record